AUUGAACGCUGGCGGCAGGCCUAACACAUGCAAGUCGAACGGUAACAGGAAACAGCUUGCUGUUUCGCUGACGAGUGGCGGACGGGUGAGUAAUGUCUGGGAAACUGCCUGAUGGAGGGGGAUAACUACUGGAAACGGUAGCUAAUACCGCAUAACGUCGCAAGACCAAAGAGGGGGACCUUCGGGCCUCUUGCCAUCGGAUGUGCCCAGAUGGGAUUAGCUAGUAGGUGGGGUAACGGCUCACCUAGGCGACGAUCCCUAGCUGGUCUGAGAGGAUGACCAGCCACACUGGAACUGAGAUACGGUCCAGACUCCUACGGGAGGCAGCAGUGGGGAAUAUUGCACAAUGGGCGCAAGCCUGAUGCAGCCAUGCCGCGUGUAUGAAGAAGGCCUUCGGGUUGUAAAGUACUUUCAGCGGGGAGGAAGGGAGUAAAGUUAAUACCUUUACUCAUUGACGUUACCCGCAGAAGAAGCACCGGCUAACUCCGUG
This 490-nucleotide ribosomal RNA is filed under the name uncultured bacterium. Its description in RNAcentral is "partial 16S ribosomal RNA". It matches the Rfam family "Bacterial small subunit ribosomal RNA", at positions 30 to 507 of the family's 1533-position model. The record is from RNAcentral.